CCCGGCUCGGCCCGGUCCGGGGCAGCCCGGCUGCGCUGAGUCCGGUCCGGCCCGGAGCAGCCCGGCUGCGCCGAGUCCGGCCCGGCCCGAGGAAGAAGCAGAAGUUUUAACCAUCUUCCCAUGGCAUCUGACUUUUUUGAAGAGGAGGACUUUUCAACCACUUGAUGGAAGGGAAAUAAGUUUGUUUCAAGACUCGUAUGUUGUUCAUCAGUGGUGUUAACAAACGUGCGGCUUGAGGAUACAUUUGCUGCUUCUCUGCAUUUUGCUGGAGGAAGGACCUUGCUGUCUCCCAGCUCCUGUGGGCAUUAUGUUUCCUGAAUGUCUCUUGGGAAGAGGACAGCUCUGUAGAGCCUAAGUUUCAGAAGUAAUUUUAAAGAUUGCACCCAAGAGAGAAGCAGUGAGAUGCACAGUGGGGAAAAUAAACCCAGCAGUCCAUCCUAUCCUGUACCUGCCUGAAUAUGGGAAGAGACCUAGUACAAAGCCAGAAUACACCUGGGCUUGCAGUAUUUUUAACCAUAAUAAGUCCUGUUCAGAGUUAAUGAUGAGCUCAGUGAGAUGGUCUCAGCAAUGCUGAAGAAGGGAAGGACAGAAUUGGAAGGCAGGAGCUAUUUCAAAGCAGGAUUCUUCAUCUUUCUGUAAUGCCCAAACACGAAGACUUUAUAAACUUCAUUAGAUCCUGCCAUCAAUGACUGAGCCUCCCUGAAAAUCUUCUUAUCAUUUACUGCCAAGAUGAGAAGGAUAACAGGAAGGAGGAGUGCUUAAGUGACUUUAAUGACAGUUAAUUUCUUCUAUUUAUCAGGUUGUCUUUCCUCAAAACUCAAUUGUCAUGACAAGAUGCUUUUGGAAGUCAUCUUUGUAAAAUAAAACUGACAAUUUUUAGGCUA
Non-coding RNA from Agelaius phoeniceus (red-winged blackbird), 884 nucleotides. NCBI's taxonomy places the organism in Eukaryota, Metazoa, Chordata, Aves, Passeriformes, Icteridae. The record is from RefSeq and is a predicted model, not a curated record.